ACAUCUCAACUCCUCACGGUUUGCCCGUGAUGAGCUUGGACUUUGGGGGUCUUGCCGGCCUGCAGGUCGGCUCCUCUCAAACGAAUCAGCUUGCCGGUGUUUGGCGGCGUCACAGGUGUGAUAACUAUCUGCGCUUGUGGUUUUCUGCCGGGUAACCUCCAGCAAUGGGAGUUCACUGGAGCUCACAAAUGUCUCUCCUCAGCGAGGACAGGUCUUUGAAU
This 221-nucleotide unclassified non-coding RNA is filed under the name uncultured Thelephoraceae. Its description in RNAcentral is "sequence contains ITS2". The record is from RNAcentral. Lineage: Eukaryota; Fungi; Basidiomycota; Agaricomycetes; Thelephorales; Thelephoraceae.